GAGUUUGAUCCUGGCUCAGGAUGAACGCUGGCGGCGUGCCUAACACAUGCAAGUCGAACGAAACACCUUAUUUGAUUUUCUUCGGAACUGAAGAUUUGGUGAUUGAGUGGCGGACGGGUGAGUAACGCGUGGGUAACCUACCCUGUACAGGGGGAUAACAGUCAGAAAUGACUGCUAAUACCGCAUAAGACCACAGCACCGCAUGGUGCAGGGGUAAAAACUCCGGUGGUACAGGAUGGACCCGCGUCUGAUUAGCUGGUUGGUGAGGUAACGGCUCACCAAGGCGACGAUCAGUAGCCGGCUUGAGAGAGUGAACGGCCACAUUGGGACUGAGACACGGCCCAAACUCCUACGGGAGGCAGCAGUGGGGAAUAUUGCACAAUGGGGGAAACCCUGAUGCAGCGACGCCGCGUGAGUGAAGAAGUAUCUCGGUAUGUAAAGCUCUAUCAGCAGGGAAGAAAAUGACGGUACCUGACUAAGAAGCCCCGGCUAACUACGUGCCAGCCGCCGCGGUAAUUC
RNAcentral lists this ribosomal RNA (519 nucleotides) under uncultured bacterium. RNAcentral's name for it is "bacterial SSU rRNA". It matches the Rfam family "Bacterial small subunit ribosomal RNA", at positions 9 to 526 of the family's 1533-position model. The record is from RNAcentral.